Molecule: unclassified non-coding RNA, 722 nt
Filed under: Anneissia japonica
Lineage: Eukaryota; Metazoa; Echinodermata; Crinoidea; Comatulida; Comatulidae
Description: uncharacterized LOC117112279, transcript variant X2
Source: RNAcentral
UACUGUUUUACCAUGGUUCUACAAUACAACUUCUCUCAGCUUUUUUCACUGAGAAAACUUGCUUGUAAAGUUAUACCUGGUUUUUCAGUUCAAAAGCUAAUGGACUACUUCGGAUGCCAGGCAAACGUGCUGGUGCUCGUUCACACAGGUCGUUUGCUCGGCAACAGGUGAUCCAUGUUUCUCAAAGUGUGAAGAUUCAAAGUGCUUCAACUUGUGUACAGACUGUCCGAUCGGAUGGGAAUUUAACGCCGAUUUUUUGAGCUGUUAUUACUUGGUUCAAGAUACACAUACUGACUAUCUAUUAGCAAACAGCACUUGUCAAACACUUGGUGGACAUCUGGCGGCCAUUUCUACUCCGGAGGAGAACUCUUGGAUAAAAACGAAGUUGUAUGCGGACUCAAUAAUGUGGCAACCCGCUUGGAUCCGUUAUGAUGAUAGGUUGUUUGGGUAUCAAAACUUGUCUGUCAGAGUACCUAACGUUCACAGUAAUGAUAAAGAUUGCACUGAAAUGUAUCCAAGAGGCUUGCUAACUUAUGUUAAUUGUAAUAACACCGCUCUACCUAUGUGUGAAAAAGGUCAGUACGUCCAACGCAUAUUUUGCUUUAAAAUUUCUGCAUCAACCAAUGAAAUAUAGUAUUAUUGUAAUUUGUAUAUGCUAUUUCGUAAACACUUAUAGGAGUUUUAUUAUUACUACUAUUAUUAUCCAACCAAUAAAAUUCAAA